Non-coding RNA from Meleagris gallopavo (turkey), 445 nucleotides. Lineage: Eukaryota; Metazoa; Chordata; Aves; Galliformes; Phasianidae. The record is from RefSeq and is a predicted model, not a curated record.
AGACAGCAAACGUGCAACUUUUAUUUUCCCAAAUGCAUCGCUGUUGCAAAGGAAAAUCAGGGCAGGAUGCAGGGUGAUGGAAGCACAGGCUGGUGCCCAAAUACACGCAGCCAUGGGCGGGGAGAUCACCGCCCAAGGGGUUGUGACUGACAUCAGCAAGAGAUGACUGUGAUCUCACUGACCCUCGUGUAUGAAUUUGGGUGUCGGCAGCAUCCCACCUGGACUCGUGCCUGGCCUCCAGUCGAGCAGACCUGCAAGACUAGGAGUACCAAUCGAGGACUUUCUCGUAUCGAGCUGUGGUGCUGCUGGCAUCAGUUCUUGGUGCCCCUCACCAGUGUUUCCCUGGCCCUGCCUUUCUCAAGCAGCCAGGGCCUCGUGGGGUGCGCAUGCAGCAGUGGAGUUAAGGAACUGAGGGGGGAGUGAGGCCAAGACUCUUAACACAAGG